Molecule: ribosomal RNA, 163 nt
Filed under: Entoloma tenuissimum
Lineage: Eukaryota; Fungi; Basidiomycota; Agaricomycetes; Agaricales; Entolomataceae
Description: 5.8S ribosomal RNA
Rfam family: 5.8S ribosomal RNA
About the family: 5.8S ribosomal RNA (5.8S rRNA) is a component of the large subunit of the eukaryotic ribosome. It is transcribed by RNA polymerase I as part of the 45S precursor that also contains 18S and 28S rRNA.
Source: RNAcentral
CAACUUUCAACAACGGAUCUCUUGGCUCUCGCAUCGAUGAAGAACGCAGCGAAAUGCGAUAAGUAGUGUGAAUUGCAGAAUUCAGUGAAUCAUCGAAUCUUUGAACGCACCUUGCGCUUUUUGAGACAUCUGUCUCGAAAAGCAUGUCUGUUUGAGUGUUGUU